Molecule: small RNA, 35 nt
Filed under: bovine gut metagenome
Description: abiF RNA
Rfam family: abiF RNA
Source: RNAcentral
CCCGCCAAGCCUCUCAACGAUGCUCAAAUGGCGGG